RNAcentral lists this ribosomal RNA (472 nucleotides) under uncultured bacterium. RNAcentral describes it as "bacterial SSU rRNA". It matches the Rfam family "Bacterial small subunit ribosomal RNA", at positions 355 to 825 of the family's 1533-position model. The record is from RNAcentral.
UGGGGAAUAUUGGACAAUGGGCGAAAGCCUGAUCCAGCCAUGCCGCGUGUGUGAAGAAGGUCUUCGGAUUGUAAAGCACUUUAAGUUGGGAGGAAGGGCAGUAAGUUAAUACCUUGCUGUUUUGACGUUACCGACAGAAUAAGCACCGGCUAACUCUGUGCCAGCAGCCGCGGUAAUACAGAGGGUGCAAGCGUUAAUCGGAAUUACUGGGCGUAAAGCGCGCGUAGGUGGUUUGUUAAGUUGGAUGUGAAAGCCCCGGGCUCAACCUGGGAACUGCAUCCAAAACUGGCAAGCUAGAGUACGGUAGAGGGUGGUGGAAUUUCCUGUGUAGCGGUGAAAUGCGUAGAUAUAGGAAGGAACACCAGUGGCGAAGGCGACCACCUGGACUGAUACCGACACUGAGGUGCGAAAGCGUGGGGAGCAAACAGGAUUAGAUACCCCCGUAGUCCCUGAGCGGGCUGGCAAGGCGCAU